GCGACCGUACAGCGUUGGAAAAACCGGUUCUCGUUUGAUCACUGAAGUUAAGCAGCGUCGGGCCCGGUUAGUACUUGCAUGAGUGACCGGCUGGGAAUGCCAUCUAUUGCGAUCGUU
This 117-nucleotide ribosomal RNA is filed under the name Fasciola gigantica. Lineage: Eukaryota; Metazoa; Platyhelminthes; Trematoda; Plagiorchiida; Fasciolidae. The record is from RNAcentral.